RNAcentral lists this ribosomal RNA (497 nucleotides) under uncultured bacterium. RNAcentral describes it as "partial 16S ribosomal RNA". It matches the Rfam family "Bacterial small subunit ribosomal RNA", at positions 28 to 507 of the family's 1533-position model. The record is from RNAcentral.
GAUGAACGCUGGCGGCGUGCCUAAUACAUGCAAGUCGAGCGAACAGACGAGGAGCUUGCUCCUCUGACGUUAGCGGCGGACGGGUGAGUAACACGUGGAUAACCUACCUAUAAGACUGGGAUAACUUCGGGAAACCGGAGCUAAUACCGGAUAAUAUAUUGAACCGCAUGGUUCAAUAGUGAAAGACGGUUUUGCUGUCACUUAUAGAUGGAUCCGCGCCGCAUUAGCUAGUUGGUAAGGUAACGGCUUACCAAGGCGACGAUGCGUAGCCGACCUGAGAGGGUGAUCGGCCACACUGGAACUGAGACACGGUCCAGACUCCUACGGGAGGCAGCAGUAGGGAAUCUUCCGCAAUGGGCGUAAGCCUGACGGAGCAACGCCGCGUGAGUGAUGAAGGUCUUCGGAUCGUAAAACUCUGUUAUUAGGGAAGAACAAAUGUGUAAGUAACUAUGCACGUCUUGACGGUACCUAAUCAGAAAGCCACGGCUAACUACGUG